UGGAGGCUUUUAAGCUCUUCCUGUGUUACUCACGCCCUAAGGCAGUGAAGGACUUCCCUUGCUCUGUAGGAAUGGUUCCUGAGCAAGGGCAUGGCCAUCUGCCUGUAACAGAUACUGAAGGGGAGGGUUUUGUGACUGCACUGAUGCAGUUGGCUUUUUAAUGGCAAUUGCACCCCGCUAACAUGCAGCUCUUUCUGACACAGGCAGGAGACGGGCAGCGGUACUGCAGCUCGUCUGCGACUUUGAAGCUAAGUUGGGAAGUGGAAGAUGUGGAUGUGAAAGAAGAACUCAGUUACUGGGACGCUCCCUUCUCUUCCCCUAGCUGUCCCCUUGCCUCAGCCCGGGUUCCCCUUGCAUUCCUGUAGGUUUCCCUUCCAUCCCCCUGGCUGCCCUGUGCUUUCCCCAAGGUUGCCCUUUCCUUUCCCAUGACAGCCCACCCACAAUUCCCUCAGCGCCCCAAUAGCCCCCUCAGUAUUUCCUAUCCAAGAACCUGUAGCUACCCCACGACCCCCACGGAGCCCCAUAGGCCCUCAAGGAUCUCUUCAGGCCUGGUACACCUUCCCCAUAGCUGGCCCAAAACCUCACAGAACCACAUAGUCUGUUACAGUACCCCAUUUCCCUGCUGGGCUCCCACUGAACCCCCAUGUUUCCUCCCUAAGACCUGCCUUACCACAUCCAGGACCCCCCUGAGAUCUUCCAGACCCCACAGUUCCUUAGAGGACCCCGUCACUAUUCCAGGACCCCCAUAGCUGACCCUCCUCAACCCCAUUUCCCUCCAGAUCCCAUAUCACCACACAGUGCUGGGGCAGGAUUGGCUGCUGCAGGAAAGGAAUGCGGAGCAGGGGGAGGUGUAGGGCACAGAUGUUGGUGAAAGUGACGUGGGGGGUACUGGGGAGACGGGUACACGGUAACGUGGGAGUAUUUGAGGAUAUGGGCCAAUAUGGGCCUGCAGGAGGAGAAUGCUGUGCAGAAGAAGGCAACGUGUGAGGUAAAGGUGGGACCUGUGGGUGCGGGGACAUGGGGUGGCAUGGGGACGUAGGGGGUGUGGGGGCAUGUGGGGAGCGGUUUGGGGUCAGAGUGGGGGAUGUGGGGCGGUGUUGGAGUGCAUUUAUGGAUUUCUUCCUGAGAGGGGGUUGGGGUUCCCUGUGGCGCAAAGGUGGAGCCCUGGUCCAUAACCCCACGUGACCCCAUUACCCCAUACAACUCCGCGUGACCCCAGGGCUCCACAUCACCCAUAGCCCUGUGAGUACCAUAUGCCCAGAGGAGGCUCUGGACAGUGAUGGGGCUGUUAUUGGGUCGUUCAGGGGGUACUGUAGGGUGGCUCUGGGGCCGCUGUAGAACAGCACUCUAUAUCUGCCCCUGACCCUCACCUUGCCCACGUCUUGGG
Molecule: long non-coding RNA, 1387 nt
Organism: Gallus gallus (chicken)
Lineage: Eukaryota; Metazoa; Chordata; Aves; Galliformes; Phasianidae
Source: Ensembl